UGACUAUGAAGGUUCAGCACAAGUGAGACUGAUGAGGGGAAGGUGAGAGGAUUCUUCCCUAUUUUUUAAAUUUUUAUUUAUUUAUUUAUUUAUUUUUAAUUUUUUGGUACUAGGGAUUGAACCCAUGGGUGCUAAACCUCUGAGUCACAUCCCCAGCCCUUUUUAAAAAUAUUUUAUUGAGAGACAGGGUCUCACUGAGUUGCUUAGGGCAUUCCUAAGUUGCUGAGCCUGGCUUUGAAGUCAUGAUCCUCCUGCCUUAGCCUCCCAAACUUCUGGGAUUACAGGAAUGCGCCACCACACCCAGCUGUUCUAUAUCUUGAUUGUAGCACUGGUUACACAACUCUAUGCCUUUGUCCUAAUGUAGAGAAUUGGUGUGUAUGGUAUAUUUCUAGGACACUCUUCAUUUGCACUAGCCACAUUUCAAGUGCUCAGUAGUCAUAUGCAGCUGGAAACUGCCCAACAGACACUACAGAUAUAUCAUGAUCUGAGAAAAAAGUAAGGUGUGGCUGGGGCUGUUGCUCAGUGGUGGAGCACUUGCCUCAUGCUGUGAGGCACUGGGUUCAAUCCUCACACCACAUAAAAAUAAAUAAAGCUAUUGUGUCCAUCUACAACUAAAAAAAAAAAGUUAAAAAAGAAAAAAAUAAUGUGUUUCCAGCCUAGAGCAGCCACCAUCAAGUCAACAGAAUGUUUGCACUGAGUAGAACAUACUCCUUAAAAUGAUCAGUCUAAAAGAAUUUUCAAUCAUAAUGAAAAGUUGUCAAGAAUUCACUCAAGGGAGGCAUCUUCUUGCCAAUUGGCAUCAUCUUCAAAGGUGGCCUCGCCCCUUCCCUGUUCUUCUAGAACACUCCCUGAAAAGCCAUUCCCUUUUAUGUUGCCUCUGGCCUCACUUUCUUCUGCUCUCCUCUCUCUCCCUCCCUCCACAUGCCCUGAACACCUCUUCACCCUGGUGAGAGCUUACUUCCCCUUUAUGACCCAGUUGCAGUGGGCUUCCUUUCCCCAGAUCCCCGCGCCCCUGAGGGCAGGAACCAAGGCUCCCUCACCGCACACUGAUAUUUCUUCUACUGUUUAUUAAGUACCUCUGGGUGCGAGGAGAACCUGGGUGAGUAGGAUACAGCCCUGUUUCUAAUCAUCUCGUGGUCUGCUAGGGCCCCCAGACUUACAGGCACUUUCACACCUAUUGCUAAGUGCCAAAGCAGAGUGCUCUGUGGCACAACAGGGGAAGCAGACCUAGCUCUGGGGAAGUCAACUUCCUCUGCAUAACCCCUGAGGUAGGCCCUUCUGCUUUCCUUUUUUAAAAAAAUCUGAAGAAGUGUACACUCGGUUACACCAGCCAAAGGUGGACAGUUUUAUUGAGGGGUACUUAAGUGGAGGAAAGGGAGGUGUCUAUCAUCUAUGAACACAAGAAGAGAGAUCACUCUCACUAGAGAUUUCUCUCCUAGUGAUCACAGAAGUUCUAAUAUAGAACUAUAUUAUAUACUAUAGUCCUGGGGGCUGUGUCCCCAGCAGUCUCGUCCCUUGGUGAAAACUCCCUGGUAGGAUCCUCCAUUGGAAACUCUUUUCUGUGCCACUCCAAAGAGACAAUUCUCCCAAAGUAGCAGUACCAGGGAGCCAGGUCCCUGGUCAGCCUGUUCUGUCACUCCCCAGGGAAGC
RNAcentral lists this long non-coding RNA (1650 nucleotides) under Marmota monax (woodchuck). The record is from RNAcentral. Lineage: Eukaryota; Metazoa; Chordata; Mammalia; Rodentia; Sciuridae.